GGGAAUUUUCCGCAAUGGGCGAAAGCCUGACGGAGCAAUACCGCGUGAGGGAUGACGGCCUAUGGGUUGUAAACCUCUUUUUUCAGGGAGGAAUCAAUGACGUGUACCUGAAGAAUAAGCAUCGGCUAACUCCGUGCCAGCAGCCGCGGUAAGACGGAGGAUGCAAGUGUUAUCCGGAAUCACUGGGCGUAAAGCGUCUGUAGGUGGUUUGAUAAGUCAACUGUUAAAUCUUGAGGCUCAACCUCAAAAUCGCAGUCGAAACUAUUAGACUAGAGUAUAGUAGGGGUAAAGGGAAUUUCCAGUGGAGCGGUGAAAUGCGUAGAUAUUGGAAGGAACACCGAUGGCGAAGGCACUUUACUGGGCUAUUACUAACACUCAGAGACGAAAGCUAGGGUAGCAAAUGGGAUUAGAUACCCCAGUAGUCA
RNAcentral lists this ribosomal RNA (425 nucleotides) under uncultured cyanobacterium. RNAcentral's name for it is "bacterial SSU rRNA". It matches the Rfam family "Bacterial small subunit ribosomal RNA", at positions 357 to 796 of the family's 1533-position model. Lineage: Bacteria; Bacillati; Cyanobacteriota. The record is from RNAcentral.